GUUCUUGUAGUUGAAUAAACAACGAUGGUUUUUCAGGCCAUAGGUCUCGGAUAAAGGCCGGGUAAGAAU
This 69-nucleotide transfer RNA is filed under the name Lepidocolaptes angustirostris (narrow-billed woodcreeper). Its description in RNAcentral is "tRNA-Glu". It matches the Rfam family "tRNA". From Rfam's summary of the family: Transfer RNA (tRNA) molecules are approximately 80 nucleotides in length. Their secondary structure includes four short double-helical elements and three loops (D, anti-codon, and T loops). The record is from RNAcentral. Lineage: Eukaryota; Metazoa; Chordata; Aves; Passeriformes; Dendrocolaptidae.